AGGCGCUUAGUUUAAUAAAAACACUCGAUUUCGGCUCGAGCACUUAUGGUUAGAGUCCAUAAUCGCCUU
Molecule: transfer RNA, 69 nt
Filed under: Chaetodermis penicilligerus (prickly leatherjacket)
Lineage: Eukaryota; Metazoa; Chordata; Actinopteri; Tetraodontiformes; Monacanthidae
Description: tRNA-Arg
Rfam family: tRNA
About the family: Transfer RNA (tRNA) molecules are approximately 80 nucleotides in length. Their secondary structure includes four short double-helical elements and three loops (D, anti-codon, and T loops).
Source: RNAcentral